Molecule: ribosomal RNA, 497 nt
Filed under: uncultured bacterium
Lineage: Bacteria
Description: partial 16S ribosomal RNA
Rfam family: Bacterial small subunit ribosomal RNA
Source: RNAcentral
GAUGAACGCUGGCGGCGUGCCUAAUACAUGCAAGUCGAGCGAACAGAUGAUGAGCUUGCUCCUCUGACGUUAGCGGCGGACGGGUGAGUAACACGUGGAUAACCUACCUAUAAGACUGGGAUAACUUCGGGAAACCGGAGCUAAUACCGGAUAAUAUAUUGAACCGCAUGGUUCAAUAGUGAAAGACGGUUUUGCUGUCACUUAUAGAUGGAUCCGCGCCGCAUUAGCUAGUUGGUAAGGUAACGGCUUACCAAGGCAACGAUGCGUAGCCGACCUGAGAGGGCGAUCGGCCACACUGGAACUGAGACACGGUCCAGACUCCUACGGGAGGCAGCAGUAGGGAAUCUUCCGCAAUGGGCGAAAGCCUGACGGAGCAACGCCGCGUGAGUGAUGAAGGUCUUCGGAUCGUAAAACUCUGUUAUUAGGGAAGAACAAAUGUGUAAGUAACUAUGCACGUCUUGACGGUACCUAAUCAGAAAGCCACGGCUAACUACGUG